GUUGUAUGGUUAAGUGACUAAGCGUACACGGUGGAUGCCUUGGCAGUCAGAGGCGAUGAAAGGCGUAAUAACUUGCGAUAAGCCCAGAUUAGGUAGUAAUAACCUUUUGAGUCUGGGAUUCCUGAAUGGGGAAACCCACUUGCAUAAGCAAGUAUCCUGUUGUGAAUACAUAGCAACAGGAGGCAAACCGGGGGAACUGAAACAUCUAAGUACCCCGAGGAAGAGAAAUCAACCG
RNAcentral lists this ribosomal RNA (235 nucleotides) under Vibrio splendidus. RNAcentral's name for it is "partial 23S ribosomal RNA". It matches the Rfam family "Bacterial large subunit ribosomal RNA", at positions 1 to 231 of the family's 2925-position model. The record is from RNAcentral. Lineage: Bacteria; Pseudomonadati; Pseudomonadota; Gammaproteobacteria; Vibrionales; Vibrionaceae.